CCUACGGGCGGCUGCAGUGGGGAAUAUUGGGCAAUGGGCGCAAGCCUGACCCAGCAACGCCGCGUGAAGGAAGAAGGCUUUCGGGUUGUAAACUUCUUUUCUGAGGGACGAAGAAAGUGACGGUACCUCAGGAAUAAGCCACGGCUAACUACGUGCCAGCAGCCGCGGGAAUACGUAGGUGGCAAGCGUUAUCCGGAUUUAUUGGGUGUAAAGGGCGUGUAGGCGGGAAAGCAAGUCAGAUGUGAAAACUCAGGGCUCAACCCUGAGCCUGCAUUUGAAACUGGUUUUCUUGAGUGCUGGAGAGGCAAUGGGAAUGCCGUGGGGAGCGGUGAAAUGCGUCGAUAUACGGAGGAAGACGAGUGGCGAAGGCGGAUUGCUGAACAGUAACUGACGCUGAGGCGCGAAAGCGUGGGGAGCAAACAGGAUUAGAGACCCCAGUAGUA
This 443-nucleotide ribosomal RNA is filed under the name uncultured bacterium. RNAcentral's name for it is "partial 16S ribosomal RNA". It matches the Rfam family "Bacterial small subunit ribosomal RNA", at positions 338 to 795 of the family's 1533-position model. The record is from RNAcentral.